RNAcentral lists this ribosomal RNA (117 nucleotides) under Ipomoea nil (Japanese morning glory). The record is from RNAcentral. Lineage: Eukaryota; Viridiplantae; Streptophyta; Magnoliopsida; Solanales; Convolvulaceae.
GGAUGCGAUCAUACCAGCACUAAUGCACCGGAUCCCAUCAGAACCGAAGUUAAGCGUGCUUGGGCGAGAGUAGUACUAGGAUGGGUGACCCCCUGGGAAGUCCUCGUGUUGUAACGG